AAAGCAGGUCUGCAAUUGCAGCUCUCCUUGUCUGUAGAGUGCUGUCAUUAACCCUGCUGAGAGCAUUUUCUGCUGCCGCACUUCACUCCUCCUCAUUGGAAUGAUGCUGAGGAAGCUAUGUAGCUGCAGGACAGCU
Molecule: small nucleolar RNA, 136 nt
Filed under: Cyprinodon variegatus (sheepshead minnow)
Lineage: Eukaryota; Metazoa; Chordata; Actinopteri; Cyprinodontiformes; Cyprinodontidae
Description: Small nucleolar RNA SNORA69 (ENSCVAG00000004986.1)
Source: RNAcentral